Molecule: long non-coding RNA, 951 nt
Organism: Colias croceus (clouded yellow)
Lineage: Eukaryota; Metazoa; Arthropoda; Insecta; Lepidoptera; Pieridae
Exons: 4
Source: RefSeq, a predicted model, not a curated record
UGUAUUUACAUUAAGUGAUAAAAUAUUCAUAUUGUGUUGUAUUGAUAUGAAUGAUUUCAAAUAGCAGGUAGGGACACAAUAAGUCCCCACAGAGUAUUCAGUCAAUGAAGCGCUGUGAAGCGAAGUCUCGAUAAUGUCUCGCUAAGUUCUUGUUAUCUUUUACACUUGAGUAUCGUUCUGUAUUUAAUAUCGUGAUAUUCGUGUGUAUUUGUAAUACGAUUUGUUAAACAAGCUUCAAACAUAUUAUUAUAUAGAUGAGUGUAUGAAUGAAAAUGGCGGUAAGAAAUAAAAGUAACAAAAAUAUGUUUUACGCUAUAUACUAAUUGGAAAAUCAAAAAACUCGGUGAUAAAUGUUUAUGUCCAACUUGAAACAACUAUUAGCUCAAACGAGGAUCUGAACUUCAACCUUCUAUGUGAAGCAAAUCGUCAAGACAUCUUUUUUUGAGAACUUCAAAUUUAACAUUCCUAAACUCUAUGGACUGUCGGCAUUUGCUAUUUAGAUGCAGAAGUGACACAAACAACUGACACAAAUAAAGAAGACAAAUGUAGGAUUAAAUUAAAAUGCAAGAGGAAACAGAAGCCAAUAAAGAAAGCGUUUGAUAUUCAAUAAUUUCCCAAAAAAUGGAGCUGGAAUAACGAACCGCAGCCGUCAAUUGCUCGCUGCUUAGUGCUUACUAGUAAGCCUUUCGAGUGCGUAAAACAACGACGCUAUCCGGAUCAUACUGGUAUCGAGUGACGUCACAGCGCAGUACCGCACUCUCACGGCACCAGAUUACACUUUAAAUACAGAUUAAUCACAAGUGUAGUAGUACAAGAAGGUUAAAUAUAACGAAUAGUAAAUACAUCCGACUGAAUGGGCGAACGAGAAGCGCCGGCGCAGCGAGCAUUGCCCUCGCUCCACCCCGCCCCCCGCGUUGCAACGCGACUGACGGCAUUCCGCCGCGCUUCCUG